This 234-nucleotide unclassified non-coding RNA is filed under the name Hevea brasiliensis (rubber tree). Lineage: Eukaryota; Viridiplantae; Streptophyta; Magnoliopsida; Malpighiales; Euphorbiaceae. The record is from RNAcentral.
AGGAGAUUGAUGAAGCUUUUCGUCAUGUUCCAGAUCCACCUCCAAGCACACAAUCAACUGGUACAAAUCAAGAAGCGCAAGUGACAUCAACAUCAAAUGUUCAGCCACCAGCUCAAACGCAAGCUCUUCAACCUGCAGCAUCUGUUCCUACUGGUGCCAUUUCCUCUGUGGGAACUUUAACGCAAUCCCGAUUUCGCUGGUAUCAUGUUGUUUUUGCUGUAGGAUUACUGGCAG